ACCUACGGGGCGCAGCAGUAGGGAAUCUUCCACAGUGGGCGAAAGCCUGAUGGAGCAACGCCGCGUGGGUGAAGAAGGUCUUCGGAUCGUAAAACCCUGUUGUUAGAGAAGAAAGUGCGUGAGAGUAACUGUUCACGUUUCGACGGUAUCUAACCAGAAAGCCACGGCUAACUACGUGCCAGCAGCCGCGGUAAUACGUAGGUGGCAAGCGUUAUCCGGAUUUAUUGGGCGUAAAGAGAACGCAGGCGGUCUUUUAAGUCUGAUGUGAAAGCCUUCGGCUUAACCGGAGUAGUGCAUUGGAAACU
Molecule: ribosomal RNA, 305 nt
Filed under: uncultured bacterium
Lineage: Bacteria
Description: bacterial SSU rRNA
Rfam family: Bacterial small subunit ribosomal RNA
Source: RNAcentral